Molecule: long non-coding RNA, 1092 nt
Organism: Notothenia coriiceps (black rockcod)
Lineage: Eukaryota; Metazoa; Chordata; Actinopteri; Perciformes; Nototheniidae
Exons: 2
Source: RefSeq, a predicted model, not a curated record
CCUCGCAGCAGCGAGCCUCACAACGUCCUGCCGAGUGUGUGUGUGUGAGGAAGUCCACGGAUUGGUCCAAACCUAACGGCUCCGCAGACGUAACCUAACGGCUCCGCAGAGCCAUUGGGUUACGUCACUAUUCCCAAAAUACGUCACUAUACCCAAGAAGUAAACAAUGGGGCAGCACAGACAGGUCUUCUCUGUGUUAGAGUGUUACUCCCUACAGGGUGUACUCUGAGGGGUUGAGACUCUGCGGAGCGUUCACAUGCAGAAGCUACAGAACACAAGGGGACGGGUCAGAACCAGAGAAGCAUGACAUGGGACCUUUAACUGUUCUGUACUCAUAAAUCUCUUCAUCAGGUCUCGUCGACCCCUCAAAGCUCUUUAAAGACUACGAGAAUAUGUUUGUCUGUAUACUGACAAAACCAGACUUUGAGGCUCUGGGAGGAUCUCAACAUACUUUUAGGACAAACCAAAACAUUUAGUGAAUGCAAGAUAAAAAGCAAACGGCUUCAUGAGAAGUUUCCUAAAGCAAUUUAAAUCUGUAUUUUCUGAGCAUUUAACCAAAAACGUCUUUUCUAUUCUCACAUUCAAAUACCAAAGAUAUAGUUCGGGAGGAAAGGAAAUCCCGUUUGUAUUUUUGCCAACAACGGUCUAAGAAAUAUCAGAUUCAGCUUUUAAACGCCAAUCCUAAAUGUGUAAUAUGUCUCGUAUGUCUCAAAUAUGGUGAUUUGUUUCUGUUCACAUCAGAUUCAAGUGAAUGUUUUUGAGUCUAUACUGACAACACCAGACCUUUGAGGCACUGGGAUUCACGAUUUCUAUAUUUUCUGACAUAUUUUUAGACAAAACCAAAUCAUUUAGCAACUUAAAUCUGUAUUUUCUGAGCGUUUAACCAAAACCUACUUCUAUUCUCACGUUUAAAUACGAAUGUGAAUAUUUCCUCUCUCUCCUGCAGAGGUAUUGCCAAACUCUCCGCCUGGAUUCGGGGAUAGAUUACCGCCGGAGGAACCGACCGUCCGCUGGAAAACUCUACUUCCUCUCCAGUGAGCCGGACGUCCAGGCGACUUUAGACAAGAAGUUUGAUGAGAUGGCUUUCAAACA